Molecule: ribosomal RNA, 404 nt
Filed under: Muribaculum intestinale
Lineage: Bacteria; Pseudomonadati; Bacteroidota; Bacteroidia; Bacteroidales; Muribaculaceae
Description: bacterial SSU rRNA
Rfam family: Bacterial small subunit ribosomal RNA
Source: RNAcentral
AAGCUGGGAACUCUGUCGAGACUGCCGGCGCAAGCUGAGAGGAAGGCGGGGAUGACGUCAAAUCAGCACGGCCCUUACGUCCGGGGCGACACACGUGUUACAAUGGCGGCCACAGCGGGAAGCCAGGCGGCGACGCCGAGCGGAACCCGAAAAGCCGUCUCAGUUCGGAUUGGAGUCUGCAACCCGACUCCAUGAAGCUGGAUUCGCUAGUAAUCGCGCAUCAGCCACGGCGCGGUGAAUACGUUCCCGGGCCUUGUACACACCGCCCGUCAAGCCAUGGGAGCCGGGAGUGCCUGAAGUACGUGACCGCAAGGAGCGUCCUAGGGUAAGACCGGUGACUGGGGCUAAGUCGUAACAAGGUAGCCGUACCGGAAGGUGCGGCUGGAACACCUCCUUUCUGGAGC